This 64-nucleotide transfer RNA is filed under the name Pelagomonas calceolata. Lineage: Eukaryota; Pelagophyceae; Pelagomonadales; Pelagomonadaceae. The record is from RNAcentral.
UGAACCACGUCAUCUAUUUCCUCGACCUCUUCGACGCGCUCGACGCGCUCGGCGACCGCGCUCC